Drosophila sulfurigaster albostrigata is the source of this 381-nucleotide long non-coding RNA. RefSeq lists it as uncharacterized. The transcript has 2 exons. Lineage: Eukaryota; Metazoa; Arthropoda; Insecta; Diptera; Drosophilidae. The record is from RefSeq and is a predicted model, not a curated record.
UGCAAAUCGGAUAAAUAAGAUAUUCUUUAUAUGAAGCGAACUAAUAUUUUUACUUAUUAAUGUUUGGAAAGAAGAAUUUAAAAUGCAUUUGUUGUCAAGAUAAAAUCAAUCUUCACUUUAGCUUUUACUCACCGCCUCUGGCCACAUUCACGAAGAUUGCACUUGGUUUCAUCAGCUUAAAGGCCUCAGCAUUGAACUUGCCCCGUGUCUGAUCGGUGAGAGGCGCUGCCACGAUCAAAAAGUCGCUCUCCUGCAACAAACGCUCAAAGGGCACAUGCUCCGCCUUGAAGUCCACGUCGUUCUCCUUGCGUGUGCGGGUCGUGUAGAUGAUCUUGGCCACAUCCCAGCUCUGGAGACGUUUGGCAAUCGCCUGACUAAUGC